GCACACAGAAGUGGCAGCUUUGGCUGUUUCUUCUCCCACUCACGCUUCUUCCCCGUUAUCAUUUCUUAUUCUUUAAACUAUUUUCAAACAUAGCUUAUGUUCAAAAUCCAUUUGUUUCGGGCAAAACAAUGGCUAUCUUUGUUGAAGAUUCCCUGGUGUUAUCCAUUUUUUGUGUUCUUUGCUCUUUUGUUUUGUUUUUUUUAUGGGAUUUUUCAGCUUUCCAUAUGGAACUGAUUCUAGAGAUAAGUGUUCCUUAUCCCCUGAAAAUUGAAAAGGGAUGAUUCUCCCUUCUUCUCUGUACCUUCUUUUCUCUUCAAAAUGGCAAUUCCACUUGUACUGCUCGCAGCCCCCACCCAUAUUCAAAGCAAAUACUCCUCCAACUUUUCUGAUUGAAGGACAGAUUCUAUGUGCUUGAAGAGGAAAUGAAGAUUGCCAAGAUGGGUUUUCAGAGUUAUUUACAAGGACAACUUUGAUUUUAUGUUGGGUUAGUUAUUUUUUAUUUUAAAUAAGAUUUUAGUAUUUUUGCUAAAUUUUAUUAGUAGAUAAAAAGAGAAGAAAGAUUAUUGCUUUUUGUUGAUUAGAGUGGCCAGAAAGUGGAGUUUGCGCUUAAAACGGUAAAUGACUGGUUCAAAUAAAGUGAAGCGAACAGUCGUGAUGCAGUUGAGGAGGAGGUAGAAGACGAAAAUGAAAAAGAGGCAAAAAGGGGUAGCCAUUGAUGUUAUAUAAAUGUAGUAUUUUUUGGUUCAAAGGUUUUUUUUUUUUUUGGUUAACGUGGAUAUCCAGUCAGCUUAUAUAUACAUCGAUUAAUUUUAUAAAUCUCAAGUUAAUGAUCA
This is a long non-coding RNA of Populus trichocarpa (black cottonwood), 833 nucleotides long. RefSeq lists it as uncharacterized. NCBI's taxonomy places the organism in Eukaryota, Viridiplantae, Streptophyta, Magnoliopsida, Malpighiales, Salicaceae. The transcript has 2 exons. The record is from RefSeq and is a predicted model, not a curated record.